RNAcentral lists this transfer RNA (74 nucleotides) under Gemmatimonadota bacterium. RNAcentral describes it as "Gemmatimonadetes bacterium tRNA-Arg". It matches the Rfam family "tRNA". Rfam says of the family: Transfer RNA (tRNA) molecules are approximately 80 nucleotides in length. RNAcentral also lists the same sequence under 1 other name. The record is from RNAcentral. Lineage: Bacteria; Pseudomonadati; Gemmatimonadota.
GCUCCCGUAGCUCAGCUGGAUAGAGCAACUGCCUUCUAAGCAGUAGGUCGCAGGUUCGAGCCCUGCCGGGAGUG